UUUGGUGCCCAGGCCGUCGUCCUCACAGCGAAGCAACAGGGAACAUAUUCAGAGUACCACGGGACGAUUUGGUAACCAUGACGGCGACGAGAGACUGGGACAAAGGACCUGCGCAUCCUUACUAUAACCAGUGGAACGGAUCCCAUCAUAUCCUGCAAACAGACACCUUUAAUUCUAGCCCUAGUUUUUAAACACAAGGCGCGUGAAAGCAGACACUGGGCUAAGACGCUGGACACGAUAAAGUCUACGGAGGCCAAUCGCCUUCUCAAGAACAAGGCAGGAAAUCAGAUAAACAGAGGUUUGUCUCCUUGGCUGAGAUCGUGAGUCGCUGGCCAUGAUCUUAAGGAAGUCUUGAUGUCUUUCGCAUCUUCGUGGUCAUCCCGCGGAGGACUUGACACAAGGCAACGAUGAAAAGCGAGGGAUGAGGCUGAAUAGAGUGUAAAUAUUGCGUAAUAAAGUUUAUACAUCAGU
Molecule: long non-coding RNA, 471 nt
Organism: Penaeus monodon (black tiger shrimp)
Lineage: Eukaryota; Metazoa; Arthropoda; Malacostraca; Decapoda; Penaeidae
Exons: 5
Source: RefSeq, a predicted model, not a curated record